This is a long non-coding RNA of Quercus robur (English oak), 4552 nucleotides long. RefSeq lists it as uncharacterized. The record is from RefSeq and is a predicted model, not a curated record. The transcript is spliced from 7 exons. NCBI's taxonomy places the organism in Eukaryota, Viridiplantae, Streptophyta, Magnoliopsida, Fagales, Fagaceae.
AACGGAGAAAGAAACAGAGAGAGAGAGAGAGAGAGAGAGAGAGAGAGAGAGAGAGAGGAUGAGGCGUGGGACAAGGAGAAAGAAACAGAGAAAGAGGCAGAAUCGAUUGGGCAUAAUAAGAAAUCAAAGAGUUUCAAAACACGAUUUUGCAGACCCUAAACCUAGGCAGAACGGUAGUUAUGUGCUGCUCCUAUUCAUUUAAGGGAGUAAACCAGCAAAACAUGAAAAGGUUUUCGAAUUGGUUUUAGCACUUAAAUCAAAUGAAACCAUGUUGAGUUCAAGCGUAAAAGCAGGGUUGUCAAUGUAAUAGUGUAUGAAAAUUGGGAAAUGUCUUGAUUUCAUUGGAUGAAAGUUAAGUUCAAAACUAACCUAUCUAGCUAGCUGUUUUUUUUUUUUUUUGGGGGCUUACCAAGUAAUAUUUCUACAAUCAUUUGAUGAUUUUAUGGCUAUUUAAUAAAAUGAUCUGACAUGUUCUUUUGUUUUGUUUAAUUGAGGAUUACAUGGUUUGUUAGAUUGGAGUCUCAUAUAUUCCCCAAAUUUCAGGUGCUUUUUUAGAUAGUAUGUUACUCUACUAUUUUCUCUGUUUGGUAAAUGGGAAAUUGUGAAAAAAGAAAAGGAGAAGAUUGGGCUUUUGGGUUUUUUAAGGUUAUUCGUGAGUCAAUCAUUUAUGCAUUUACACUUCAUUUGGCUAGAUUUAGUCCGUCCUCCGCAAAUUUCAGGUACCUUUUUUUCUUUCUCCUUGGUUGGCUGGAAGUUCAAGAAGAUUUUUAGACGUUAUCAACUUCCUUACAGCAGACAUUUUUGCAAGAAACGUUGCUGGAACAAAUUGAUAGAGUGGUAUUAAUGCUCCUAAGGUUCCUUUAGUGGAAUGGACUAAGGUUUGUAUGCCGGUGCAGAAGGGUGGUUUAGGGAUUCGACGGCUGAGAAGAUUUAAUUCUGCUUUGUUAGGCAAAUGGUUGUGGAGACAUGGAAUGGAGAGAGAUGCCCUUUGGAGGAAGGUCAUUGAGACUAAAUAUGGGGAUGAAGGGGGUGGUUGGUGUACCAAACCGGUGUUAGGGACCUAUGGUGUUAGUGGCUGGCUGGACUUUUCUAAAUUUCUUCAGUUUGAUGUCGGAUAAAGUUUUGGGAGGAUGUAUAGUGUAGGGAUUGUUCCCUUAAGGAAGCAUUUCCAGAAUUGUAUAGUAUUAGUCGGGCAAGGGAGUUUUUUCUGUCAAAAGUGAUGUGUUUCUCCAAUGGGUGGCUUCAUUGGGACAUUCGUUUCCGUCGUCCACCACAAGAUUGGGAGUCAGAAUCAUUUGAUUGUUUUUGGGUUGUGCUUUAUUCCAUGAAUGUGCAGGGUGUUGGUGAUGACAAACUUUGCUAGAAGCCAGCAAUGAGGAAAGGUUUUGAGGUUCGAGGCUUCUAUCACUCUUUAUCUCCUUCUGUCAUUGAUUUUCCUUGGAAAAUGGUGUGGCAAUCCAAGGUUCCUCCUAGAGUAAGGUUCUUUUCUUGGACUGCUGCCUUAGGUAAGAUCUUAACUACAAAUAAUUUUUGGAAGAGGCAUAUUGCAGUGUUAGAGUGGUGCUUUAUGUGUAAAAGGUGUGGAGAAUCGGUGGAUCAUCUUCUUCUUCAUUGUCCUAUAGAAUAUGAGUUGUGGUCUAUGGUUUUUUGUUUGUUUGGUAUACAUUGGGUUAUGCUGUAUAAAGUUAGUGAGGUAUUAGCUUCUUGGCAGGGGAAGUUUGGUAGACAUUAAAAUAUAGGUUUAUGGAGGUUUGUGCCGCAUUGUUUGUUUUGGUGCUUAUGGCGGGAGCCGAAUGCUAGAUGCUUUGAGAAUUGUGAACGGUCUAUUCUUGACAUUAAGUAUUUCUUUUUCCGUACUCUCCUUGAGUGGAGUUUAGUUUUGCCUUCCUAUUCUUGUCUUUCUCUCCCUGAUCUUAUAGAUCGUUGUAAUCUGGGUUUUUAAUUUGUGCCUCUGUAAUACAUUUCCAGUGUACUUGGUUGGUUUUUUUUUAAUAAAAUUUCUUACAUUACUUGUCAAAAAAAAUUGAUAUUAUAUUUUUAUCUACCAAUAAUAACUUGCUACUUUAACAAUUAGAAAUUUGUUGUGCCUCUAAACCUAUCGAAAAGAAAAUACUAGGGCUUUUGUUAAGAGAAAAUAUAUGGACAUAAAAAAUUCUACACCCGGUUGAUCGAUAUGACAGAUUAUUAGUGGUAAGUAAAAAAAUAAUGUCAAUGGUAAGUUCAGAUAAAAACCAGUAAAAACUUGUCAACUCAACUGUUGUGAAAUUUUUUAUAUCUUUAGUAUUAAAUUUUUGUUAAUGGGGCCAUUAGACAUUAGUUAAGAAAGAGUUAGCAUAAAGGACAAAAGUUAAUUAAAAUGUGAACUUUUAAUUGAAAAUGGUGCAAUUGUCCAUAAAAAGUAGCUCAAAUGUAUUUGGUUUUUCAUCUUUAAGGAAUUCCCUCAAAUCAAAUUGUAAGACAGAUAAUAAGUUUGUAGUAGCUGUAAGCCUAACAUCAUUUCACACAGAUAUAACCAACUCCAAAAAAAAUUGUUAAUAACUACAAGCUAUAGAUGUAUGUAAUAAGUUCGUAGUGCUUACCCAUUUAGAGUAUAAUACUAUAAUCUAAUCUCUCUUCUAGUCAUUGUCAUAGAAUUAAUAUGAGAAUUUUAUUGAAACAUUAGAUAACAUAUGAGCAAAAGUCAUUCAUUCAUAUGGCGCAUUUAUCCUUGGUUUCCUAAAUGGGUUUUCUUGUUUGGUGCCUUUUACAUUCCAUCGUAGGAUUGAUAGAAACAUGCGUGAAUCCUAUUGGUCAUUGCAAAAUUAUUACUGUCAUUUGGGUUGUUAAAUGGAGUCUUUUUUACCUCGUCACCAUAUAACUAUUCUUAGAUGAAGUAAGCUGCCCCAUGAUACAUUUCAUGGAAGCUUCAAGAGCUUAAUAAGCUCCUAGUUAGAACUCCACUGGAAACCUCCAAAACCACUUAAUUGACACAUCGUAAAGGACUUAGGUGGGACCAAUGGCAUAUGUUUGCGUACUAAGAAUUGGAGAGAUUAUGACUUAAUUUAGCUACUGUAUAGUUUUGUUAGAUAGAAGGAAACUAAGUGAGGUUCAAUGGGCUACAAUUUGGACUUAACAAAUAGACAAAAAGCCGAAAGUUACAUGAUGCUUCACACAUGCAACUUGACUGAUCCACUCAAGUUGCAACUUGGCCAUUCCCUACACACUAUAAAUGGACUCUCGCCCACACCUUGUAAACUCGUACCAUUGUCAAUAUAGAGUUAUUAGAUAGCAGCUAAGCAUUCUCUUGAAUUCUUCGGCUAUUGAGAGAUAGAGAGAGUCUCAAAGGUCUUUAGGCUUGUAGUUAAGGAGGAUUUUUAGAUUGUGUUUGAAAAAUGGCCCCUCACCAAACUUUGACUUUAGCUUUUGGGCUUCUAGGUACGUAGUCACAAACUGUAAUUGUAUGUAUAUGUUAGAACAUUUAAAUGUAUUUGCUUGAAAACAUUAUCUUGGAUAUUCUAACAUCAUAUACUUAACCCAGGCUAUCAACGUGAAUCAAAGCAAGUUAAAUGAAUGGGUCAAUUAUGUAUUGGUCUGCUUAACUCAUAACAACUUGAAAAUGACAUAGUGGGAAAAAUGCUCAUACACCCCCUAAACUUUCAACCACUGGCCAAAAGACCUCCCUCAACUUUUAUAAUGGCCAAUUUACUCCUUAAACUAUUCACACUUGCCAAAUUAAUACAUCUGUUAGUUUGGUGUUAAAAAACUAACGUUUAAAUCACGUGAGAAGCACGCAAAAAUUACAAAGGUGAAUCAGCAUAGUUGGGAGGGAAAGAAAAAGCCAGGUUCAGAGAGAGGAAGAUGAUAGACUGUGGAACCAGAAUCUUGAACCACCGUGACAGCCUUCUCUCCGGUGCCGGAGUUUUUGUCCUGCAAUUGCCUUGCCACUGUCAUGGAUGAAUGUCCACUGUCACUCCCUGGAAAUUCACAUUCUAUGCCAAAUGCUCAAGCUCCUCAAUCCCAAUACGAUUCUAUUGAGGCUGAUGGCCAAUUUGAAAUUGUUCAUGUUCCAAUUGAAUUGGAGGAUGACGAGGAUGAUGAAGAUUACAAUUUAAGGGAUUUUUUUGAAUCUGAUGAUGAUAUAAAUGAAGAUUUUGGUAUGAAGGAUGAUGGAAUAAAUAGAGCAAUUGGGGGCAAGUAGCUUGAGGGAGUUUGGAAUGGUAAAGAAGGCUCAGACCAUAGGGACAAUGAUGAGUCGAGGAGUGUAGAAGGGUCAUUUGAUGAUGAAGGGAAUUCGAGGCCUAGGUUCCUUGAGUUACUGGCAUGAAAAAUGUAUAGCUAAUAAAGGAUCUCAAAUUUGCAUCACAUGUAGUCUUCAAGGAGUCACUCAUUUGAUAUUUAAAUUCAUGGCAGAUUAAGAUCCUUUUAAGAAUACUAAUGGAGCCAAUAUACUUUUGUUUUUCAAUAUUGCUGGAAAAGUGUAAUUAUUGAUUCAUUGAGUACUAUUUUUUGGCAAACAAUGUACCAUUUGUAAGCACUCAUUGAUAUUUCAAUUCAUGGCAAAUUAAGACACUCA